Molecule: non-coding RNA, 83 nt
Organism: Ipomoea nil (Japanese morning glory)
Lineage: Eukaryota; Viridiplantae; Streptophyta; Magnoliopsida; Solanales; Convolvulaceae
Source: Rfam
GUUUUUUUAGCCGAGUGGUUUGGGCGUGUGGCCUGCUAAGUACAUGUGUUUUCCCAACGAGAGUCCAAAUCUCUCAAGCAACG